GCCUGGGGCUGGGCUGGGCUGGGCUGGGCUGGGGCUGGGCUGGGGCUG
This 48-nucleotide microRNA precursor is filed under the name Tupaia belangeri (northern tree shrew). RNAcentral's name for it is "miRNA (ENSTBEG00000020115.1)". Lineage: Eukaryota; Metazoa; Chordata; Mammalia; Scandentia; Tupaiidae. The record is from RNAcentral.